RNAcentral lists this ribosomal RNA (497 nucleotides) under uncultured bacterium. Its description in RNAcentral is "partial 16S ribosomal RNA". It matches the Rfam family "Bacterial small subunit ribosomal RNA", at positions 28 to 507 of the family's 1533-position model. The record is from RNAcentral.
GAUGAACGCUGGCGGCGUGCCUAAUACAUGCAAGUCGAGCGAACGGACGAGAAGCUUGCUUUUCUGAUGUUAGCGGCGGACGGGUGAGUAACACGUGGAUAACCUACCUAUAAGACUGGGAUAACUUCGGGAAACCGGAGCUAAUACCGGAUAAUAUUUUGAACCGCAUGGUUCAAAAGUGAAAUACGGUCUUGCUGUCACUUAUAGAUGGAUCCGCGCUGCAUUAGCUAGUUGGUAAGGUAACGGCUUACCAAGGCAACGAUGCAUAGCCGACCUGAGAGGGUGAUCGGCCACACUGGAACUGAGACACGGUCCAGACUCCUACGGGAGGCAGCAGUAGGGAAUCUUCCGCAAUGGGCGAAAGCCUGACGGAGCAACGCCGCGUGAGUGAUGAAGGUCUUCGGAUCGUAAAACUCUGUUAUUAGGGAAGAACAUAUGUGUAAGUAACUGUGCACAUCUUAACGGUACCUAAUCAGAAAGCCACGGCUAACUACGUG